Long non-coding RNA from Manis pentadactyla (Chinese pangolin), 1130 nucleotides. RefSeq lists it as uncharacterized. The record is from RefSeq and is a predicted model, not a curated record. The transcript is spliced from 4 exons. Lineage: Eukaryota; Metazoa; Chordata; Mammalia; Pholidota; Manidae.
CCACCCCACAACUUUUGAUUCUGCUUUGAAAUAGCAGCUGAUGUUACUAGGAGAUCAUUAGUCUUUUUUAACCUCAAGGGCAGGCAAUUGAGUUUAUCGCUCUUCCCAGUUCCCGGCAUCUGUCCUGGUUAUUCCUCAUUUGCUAUGCUGAACUCUUUCCCCAGCCCGCCACUGCAUUCCUCCUUCUCUGUCUGCCUUGGGAAGUCAACUGCUGCAGACUCCAUUACCCAGGCUCCUUUGCUGCUUGGUUUCUGGUCAUCUGGGGGACAUUUACAGUUUCAAAUAUCACCAGCUACUACUGAAAAGGAAGAAAAGUAAAACUCUCUUGCAUUUGAACUCUGUGGAGAGGCAGAUAUUUUAAACUCUGGAAGGGAGGGCCUCAUGGAAACCUUUACCUUCACUGUCACAAGGAUUUCUACUCUACUCCUUGUUUCUGGGUGGCCACUGAGUUGAUUUCAGUGGUGUCCAAUUAGGAAUAUAUUUUCUGUUCAAGUGGGCCACAAGGGAGAUUCUGGAGAGAUUUAGAAGACUAAAGAGGAGGAAGCCACCAUUUUGUAGCAGACGCAUGUUGUUGCUGAUCUGAUUAUUCACUUCAUUGAUGUGAAGCAUCAGCUGGGCUAGGUGUGUGUUUUGGCUCUUUGAUGAAGGGCCCUGCUUUCUCCAGAGGUAACAGGAAUAGAUAUGAAUUUAGUCGAUCCUUGUCAGUUUCCAGCUUGUGUUCAUGGCAUUCCAGACUGCUUAUGUUCUAUCUUUCCUGACUGCUUGCCCUGCGGACUUCAAGAUCCAGCGUCAGACAUGGAGACUGCCUUACAGAGACUGCUUAAUCAGUUCCCACAAUUGUGACUCCAGCUCAUAGUACCCAGCCACCAUUCAUAAAGAAGGCUCAACAAGCCCAUGCAGGGAGAUCAUGUGGAGCAGCCCAUUUGGAGAGGAGCUUGAAUCCUCAACUGAUACCUGGCAUUAACCACCAGACAUGGGACUGAAUGAGGCCUUGGAAGUUUCCAGCCCCCAGCUUUUGAGUCUUCCAGCUGAAGCCUUGGACAUUAUGGAGAAGAGUGGAACAGAGAUAAGAUGUCCCCAUAAAACCUUCCCCAAAUUGAAUAUUUGUGAACAGAAUAAAUAUUGUUGUU